AGAGUUUGAUCCUGGCUCAGGAUGAACGCUGGCGGCGUGCUUAACACAUGCAAGUCGAACGAUGACCCCGUGCUUGCACGGGUGAUUAGUGGCGAACGGGUGAGUAACACGUGAGUAACCUGCCCCUGACUCUGGGAUAAGCCCGGGAAACUGGGUCUAAUACUGGAUAUGACCUUUAACCGCAUGGUUUUUGGUGGAAAGAUUUAUCGGUUGGGGAUGGACUCGCGGCCUAUCAGCUUGUUGGUGAGGUAAUGGCUCACCAAGGCGACGACGGGUAGCCGGCCUGAGAGGGUGACCGGCCACACUGGGACUGAGACACGGCCCAGACUCCUACGGGAGGCAGCAGUGGGGAAUAUUGCACAAUGGGCGAAAGCCUGAUGCAGCGACGCCGCGUGAGGGAUGACGGCCUUCGGGUUGUAAACCUCUUUCAGUAGGGAAGAAGCGAAAGUGACGGUACCUGCAGAAGAAGCGCCGGCUAACUACGUGCCAGCAGCCGCGGUAAU
RNAcentral lists this ribosomal RNA (503 nucleotides) under uncultured bacterium. RNAcentral describes it as "bacterial SSU rRNA". It matches the Rfam family "Bacterial small subunit ribosomal RNA", at positions 8 to 524 of the family's 1533-position model. The record is from RNAcentral.